AAUCCCCACAUGGGUACAAUGUGUGAAACCCAUUUCUGGUGUCCCCCGUCGUGAUGUUGCUGGAAUAUUGCUAAAAGCGGCAUGAAACCAAACUCAGUCAGUAUCAUUGAAAAUUUAAUAUUUAAAGCCAUGUAAUUAAAACAACCCAUUUCCUUGGUCCCUGGAAUAAUUUAUUACAGGAAAAUUAGUUGUUUAACUUUAAAACAAUUUUUGUGCAAAGGUUUGUAGUGGAUGUUGUCUCGUAGGAACUGAUUCGCCAAGUGAGAAUACCUGUGAGAAUUUCCUCACCAGUGCUGAUUGGUAAUUUAUGUCAAUUCUCAUGGUCACUUACAGUGAAAACAAAUAUGGUGAUAUUUUGUUAAAUUCUCUUGAUUUGACGUUUAACAGUCGACAGUAUGUAAAUGGUAGCAUCAGGUGUUUCUUUGAUCAUUUUAUGACACCCGACAUUAUCAUUUAUAGAACUAAUGAAUCAUUACGUGUGUGAUUUAGCUCUCAUUAAAAUGUUAUUGUUUGAUGUCAAACAGUGAACUUUGUUAAACGUCUUUCAAGUCUCAGUGUUUAAUCACGCCAACAUUACUCACAUAUGGGUCUGCAGUUUGUGGAUUGGUGGUAUUGACAUGAUGAUUGUACAUACCUUUAGACAGAUAUGUGGCUGCUGUAGUGUCAGUGUGUACAUAUACAUGUGUAUAGUGCAAGGAAUAAACACCGUCAUAAACUG
Molecule: long non-coding RNA, 718 nt
Organism: Haliotis rubra (blacklip abalone)
Lineage: Eukaryota; Metazoa; Mollusca; Gastropoda; Lepetellida; Haliotidae
Exons: 2
Source: RefSeq, a predicted model, not a curated record